Molecule: ribosomal RNA, 429 nt
Filed under: Chloroflexota bacterium
Lineage: Bacteria; Bacillati; Chloroflexota
Description: Chloroflexi bacterium partial 16S ribosomal RNA
Rfam family: Bacterial small subunit ribosomal RNA
Source: RNAcentral
UGGGGAAUAUUGCACAAUGGGCGCAAGCCUGAUGCAGCCAUGCCGCGUGUGUGAAGAAGGCCUUCGGGUUGUAAAGCACUUUCAGCGGGGAGGAAGGCGAUAAGGUUAAUAACCUUGUCGAUUGACGUUACCCGCAGAAGAAGCACCGGCUAACUCCGUGCCAGCAGCCGCGGUAAUACGGAGGGUGCAAGCGUUAAUCGGAAUUACUGGGCGUAAAGCGCACGUAGGCGGUCUGUCAAGUCGGAUGUGAAAUCCCCGGGCUCAACCUGGGAACUGCAUUCGAAACUGGCAGGCUAGAGUCUUGUAGAGGGAGGUAGAAUUCCAGGUGUAGCGGUGAAAUGAGUAGAGAUCUGGAGGAAUACCGGUGGCGAAGGCGGCCCCCUGGACAAAGACUGACGCUCAGGUGCGAAAGCGUGGGGAGCAAACAGG